CCCCUUAGAUGUCCGGGGCCGCACGCGCGCUACACUGAAGGAAUCAGCGUGGCUUUCUCCCUGACCCGAAAGGGUUGGGAAACCCGUUGAAUCUCCUUCGUGAUAGGGAUUGGGGCUUGAAAUUGUUCCCCAUGAACGAGGAAUUCCCAGUAAGCGCGAGUCAUAAGCUCGCGUUGAUUACGUCCCUGCCCUUUGUACACACCGCCCGUCGCUACUACCGAUUGAACGGUUUAGUGAGGGCCUCGGAUUGGUCUCGGCCCGCUCUUUACCGGGCGGCGCCGUUGGUCGAGAAGACGCUCGAACUUGAUCGUUUAGAGGAAGUAAAAGUCGUAACA
RNAcentral lists this ribosomal RNA (335 nucleotides) under uncultured eukaryote. RNAcentral describes it as "partial 18S ribosomal RNA". It matches the Rfam family "Eukaryotic small subunit ribosomal RNA", at positions 1469 to 1796 of the family's 1831-position model. The record is from RNAcentral.